CUACGGAGGGGGCUAGCGUUGUUCGGAAUUACUGGGCGUAAAGCGUACGUAGGCGGACUGAUCAGUUGGGGGUGAAAUCCCAGGGCUUAACCCUGGAACUGCCUUCAAUACUGUCAGUCUUGAGUUUGGGAGAGGUGAGUGGAAUUCCUAGUGUAGAGGUGAAAUUCAUAGAUAUUAGGAGGAACACCAGUGGCGAAGGCGGCUCACUGGCCCAUUACUGACGCUGAGGUACGAAAGCGUGGGGAGCAAACAGGAUUAGAAACCCGAGUAGUCC
RNAcentral lists this ribosomal RNA (274 nucleotides) under uncultured bacterium. RNAcentral's name for it is "partial 16S ribosomal RNA". It matches the Rfam family "Bacterial small subunit ribosomal RNA", at positions 523 to 796 of the family's 1533-position model. The record is from RNAcentral.